This 253-nucleotide ribosomal RNA is filed under the name uncultured bacterium. Its description in RNAcentral is "partial 16S ribosomal RNA". It matches the Rfam family "Bacterial small subunit ribosomal RNA", at positions 524 to 776 of the family's 1533-position model. The record is from RNAcentral.
UACGUAGGGUCCGAGCGUUGUCCGGAAUUAUUGGGCGUAAAGGGCUCGUAGGCGGUUCGUCACGUCGGGAGUGAAAACUCGGGGCUUAACCCCGAGCCUGCAGUGGAUACGGGCAGACUAGAGGUAGGUAGGGGAGAAUGGAAUUCCCGGUGUAGCGGUGAAAUGCGCAGAUAUCGGGAGGAACACCGGUGGCGAAGGCGGUUCUCUGGGCCUUACCUGACGCUGAGGAGCGAAAGCGUGGGGAGCGAACAGG